AUUGAACGCUAGCGGGAUGCUUUACACAUGCAAGUCGAACGGCAGCGCGGACUUCGGUCUGGCGGCGAGUGGCGAACGGGUGAGUAAUGUAUCGGAACGUGCCCAGUAGCGGGGGAUAACUACGCGAAAGCGUAGCUAAUACCGCAUACGCCCUACGGGGGAAAGCAGGGGAUCGUAAGACCUUGCACUAUUGGCGCGGCCGAUAUCGGAUUAGCUAGUUGGUGAGGUAACGGCUCACCAAGGCGACGAUCCGUAGCUGGUGUGAGAGGACGACCAGCCACACUGGGACUGAGACACGGCCCAGACUCCUACGGGAGGCAGCAGUGGGGAAUUUUGGACAAUGGGGGCAACCCUGAUCCAGCCAUCCCGCGUGUGCGAUGAAGGCCUUCGGGUUGUAAAGCACUUUUGGCAGGAAAGAAACGUCGCGGGCUAAUACCCCGUGGAACUGACGGUACCUGCAGAAUAAGCACCGGCUAACUACGUG
This 484-nucleotide ribosomal RNA is filed under the name uncultured bacterium. RNAcentral's name for it is "partial 16S ribosomal RNA". It matches the Rfam family "Bacterial small subunit ribosomal RNA", at positions 30 to 507 of the family's 1533-position model. The record is from RNAcentral.